AAAAAGUUAGUUAAGUUAUAAUAUAAGGUUGUCAGCCUUAUGCCACUGUUUAUAAGUCAGUACUUUUUG
This 69-nucleotide transfer RNA is filed under the name Harpovoluta charcoti. Its description in RNAcentral is "tRNA-Asp". Lineage: Eukaryota; Metazoa; Mollusca; Gastropoda; Neogastropoda; Volutidae. The record is from RNAcentral.